This 400-nucleotide unclassified non-coding RNA is filed under the name uncultured Actinomycetes bacterium. Its description in RNAcentral is "uncultured actinobacterium contains 16S-23S intergenic spacer region". Lineage: Bacteria; Bacillati; Actinomycetota; Actinomycetes. The record is from RNAcentral.
UCCGGUUUGGCACCGGCAGUUUCCCUAGAGUUCCCGGCAUUACCCGCUGGCAACUAAGGACAGGGGUUGCGCUCGUUGCGCCACUUAAGGCAACACCUCACGGCACGAGCUGACGACAGCCAUGCACCACCUGUGCGGGCUCCGAAGAGCGCCGUGUUUCCACGGUUCCACCCAAGGGCGUCACCUCCGUUUCGGGAGGCUAAUCCGUGCAUUUCAAACCCUGGUAAGGUUCUGCGCGUUGCUUCGAAUUGAACCACAUGCUCCACCGCUUGUGUGAGCCCCCGUCAAUUCCUUUGAGUUUUAGCCUUGCGGCCGUACUCCCCAGGCGGGGUGCUUAAUGCGUUAGCUGCGGCACGGAGAACGUGGAAUGUUCCCCACACCUAGCACCCACCGUUUACGG